CAUUUUUUUCUUCAGUGGUGGGGCAGAGGAAGGGGCCUACUGGGGCAAAUGCCUCACCAGUCCAUGGUAUUAAAAAUGCCUUGCGGCCGCUCAUGGGGUAUAUAUUACAUGCACCCUGCAUGCACAUCACAUGCACAUAACAUUGCCACUUAAUUAACAAGCACACUUACAGUAACAUUUGAAUAAUCAUUUGUGAAUACAGCCUUCCAUACUUUAAUACUUCUAUCAUCAGAAACAGAACAAAGUAGCUGUCUUUCUUGGUUAUAUCUUACUGAAAAUAUCACACCAUCAUGUCCAGUAAGCCGCAUUCUAACGGGAACCUUGUCGUCGCUAGCCUGCUUAUCUGUAACUUUCCAGAGUAAAACUUCGUUAAAAACAGUUCCACAAGCCAACCACAUGUGGUCUAAUGUUCGUCCAAUGAACCUCGCACAAUAU
Molecule: non-coding RNA, 435 nt
Organism: Paramuricea clavata
Lineage: Eukaryota; Metazoa; Cnidaria; Anthozoa; Malacalcyonacea; Plexauridae
Source: the annotation of a GenBank genome assembly